UCUCGGCCGAUCUCCUGCACCGGCGGUAGUGGUAGUGCUGCUGUUUUGCUGCGUGUCCUUCUCGCGUCUACACCACCGUCCAUCUCUGCCACUUUUUCCAUCAUGGUGGACAUUUUGUUGUUGAUGUUUUUCGCCAUCAUGGGCCUCGUCUUCCUUUCUUACAUCAUCUACUUGCUGUGAUGAAGAUGAUGAAGCGUCCUGCUCAGCCACACAGGCGGCUGGUUGCACAGGCGUACACAGGAUGUAUGUUUUUCCUCUCCUCCUGCUUCACUGGUUUCCAUCAUGGACACUGGGAGAAGAGCCGGGGUCCAGCCAUGAUGGCUUCCCCAUUGGAGCUCAUGUAGGAGGUGAAGAUCAAGUCAGCUGUGAAGCUGUGAGGAGAAACAAAUGGACAAGAAGUGGAAGCCAAAGCCUUUCUGCCUCUCUGUCUCCUACUUGCACUCUGUAAUCACAUCCCUAUUCCUCCUUUUUCCUUAUUUAUUGGGCAGGAUCCUGCAACAAAUGUCAGCCCAAGAGCUCCCACUUACUUGCAAUCAGUGUAUUUUCUAUGCUACUCAAGGUUGUGCAUAAAAAAAAAAGGUAAAGGUGGAGAAAUGUUUCCUCUGCACAAGUCCAAUACAUUCGUAGACAUGGAUGCAGGACGGUUU
Molecule: long non-coding RNA, 647 nt
Organism: Cottoperca gobio
Lineage: Eukaryota; Metazoa; Chordata; Actinopteri; Perciformes; Bovichtidae
Exons: 2
Source: RefSeq, a predicted model, not a curated record